Molecule: ribosomal RNA, 920 nt
Filed under: archaeon MnTg01
Lineage: Archaea
Description: bacterial SSU rRNA
Rfam family: Archaeal small subunit ribosomal RNA
Source: RNAcentral
AUCCGGUUGAUCCUGCCGGACCUGACUGCUAUCGGAUUGAUACUAAGCCAUGUGAGUCAUUGUAGCAAUACAAGGCAGACGGCUCAGUAACACGUAGUCAAUCUACCCUAUGGACGGGGAUAACCUCGGGAAACUGAGGAUAACACCCGAUAGAUCAUUAAUCCUGGAACGGUUUAUGGUCCAAAUGAUUCGUCGCCGUAGGAUGGGACUGCGGCCUAUCAGCUUGUUGGUGAGGUAAUGGCCCACCAAGGCUAUUACAGGUACGGGCUCUGAGAGGAGAAGCCCGGAGAUGGGUACUGAGACACGGACCCAGGCCCUAUGGGGCGCAGCAGGCGAGAAACCUUUGCAAUGUGCGCAAGCACGACAAGGUUAAUCCGAGUGUUUCCUGCUAAAGGAAUCUUUUGUUAGUUGUAAAACCACUAUCGAAUAAGGGGUGGGCAAGUUCUGGUGUCAGCCGCCGCGGUAAAACCAGCACCUCAAGUGGUCAGGAGGAUUAUUGGGCCUAAAGCAUCCGUAGCCUGUUCUAUAAGUUUCCGGUUAAAUCCACUAGCUCAACUAAUGGGCUGCCGAAAAUACUGUAGAACUAGGGAGUGGGAGAGGUAGACGGUAUUCGGUAGGAAGGGGUAAAAUCCUUUGAUCUAUUGAGGACCACCUGUGGCGAAGGCGGUCUACCAGAACACGUUCGACGGUGAGGGAUGAAAGCUGGGGGAGCAAACCGGAUUAGAUACCCGGGUAGUCCCAGCUGUAAACGAUGCAGACUCGGUGAUGCGCUGGCUUGUGGCCAGUGCAGUGCCGCAGGGAAGCCGUUAAGUUUGCCGCCUGGGAAGUACGUACGCAAGUAUGAAACUUAAAGGAAUUGGCGGGGGAGCACCACAAGGGGUGAAGCCUGCGGUUCAAUUGGAGUCAACGCCAGAAAUCUU